AAAAUCGCCUUUAGCCAGACAAGUAUUAAAGGUCUCGCCUGCCCAGUGAACCACCCCCUUUAAACGGCCGCGGUACUCUAACCGUGCAAAGGUAGCGUAAUCAUUUGCCCCCUAAAUAGGGGCUAGUAUGAACGGCUAAAUGAGGGCCUAACUGUCUCCUGCGACAAGCCAAUGAAACUGAUCUCUCAGUACAAAAGCUGAGAUAUACCCACAAGACGAGAAGACCCUGUGGAGCUUCCUAAACACAACACUAAACCCACUCAACCACCCAUAGUGCUGACUUUUAGUUGGGGCGACUACGGAGAUAACCCAAACCUCCAUGAAACAGGAUCUCCUCCUCCCAAGGCAAACACGCCUAAGAUAAUUAUACCUUUGACCCAGCAUUGCUGAACAACGGACCAAGUUACCCCAGGGAUAACAGCGCAAUCCUCCCCAAGAGUCCUUAUCGCCAGGAGGGUUUACGACCUCGAUGUUGGAUCAGGACACCCAGGUGGUGCAGCCGCUACCAAAGGUUCGUUUGUUCAACGAUUAAUGUCCUACGUGA
RNAcentral lists this ribosomal RNA (544 nucleotides) under Phyllodactylus pachamama. Its description in RNAcentral is "partial 16S ribosomal RNA". It matches the Rfam family "Bacterial large subunit ribosomal RNA", at positions 1812 to 2603 of the family's 2925-position model. The record is from RNAcentral. Lineage: Eukaryota; Metazoa; Chordata; Lepidosauria; Squamata; Phyllodactylidae.